GAUGAACGCUGGCGGCGUGCCUAAUACAUGCAAGUCGAGCGAACAGACGAGAGUGCUUGCACUCUCUGACGUUAGCGGCGGACGGGUGAGUAACACGUGGGUAACCUACCUAUAAGACUGGGAUAACUUCGGGAAACCGGAGCUAAUACCGGAUAAUAUUUAGCUUCGCAUGAAGCAAUAGUGAAAGACGGUUCUGCUGUCACUUAUAGAUGGACCCGCGGUGUAUUAGCUAGUUGGUGAGGUAACGGCUCACCAAGGCAACGAUACAUAGCCGACCUGAGAGGGUGAUCGGCCACACUGGGACUGAGACACGGCCCAGACUCCUACGGGAGGCAGCAGUAGGGAAUCUUCCGCAAUGGAUGAAAGUCUGACGGAGCAAUGCCGCGUGAGUGAAGAAGGUUUUCGGAUCGUAAAACUCUGUUGUAAGGGAAGAACAAGUACGUUAGUAACUGAACGUACCUUGACGGUACCUUACCAGAAAGCCACGGCUAACUACGUG
This 499-nucleotide ribosomal RNA is filed under the name uncultured bacterium. RNAcentral describes it as "partial 16S ribosomal RNA". It matches the Rfam family "Bacterial small subunit ribosomal RNA", at positions 28 to 507 of the family's 1533-position model. The record is from RNAcentral.